Molecule: ribosomal RNA, 497 nt
Filed under: uncultured bacterium
Lineage: Bacteria
Description: partial 16S ribosomal RNA
Rfam family: Bacterial small subunit ribosomal RNA
Source: RNAcentral
GACGAACGCUGGCGGCGUGCCUAAUACAUGCCAGUAGAACGCUGAAGAGAGGAGCUUGCUCUUCUUGGAUGAGUUGCGAACGGGUGAGUAACGCGUAGGUAACCUGCCUUGUAGCGGGGGAUAACUAUUGGAAACGAUAGCUAAUACCGCAUAACAAUGGAUGACACAUGUCAUUUAUUUGAAAGGGGCAAUUGCCCCACUACAAGAUGGACCUGCGUUGUAUUAGCUAGUAGGUGAGGUAAUGGCUCACCUAGGCGACGAUACAUAGCCGACCUGAGAGGGUGAUCGGCCACACUGGGACUGAGACACGGCCCAGACUCCUACGGGAGGCAGCAGUAGGGAAUCUUCGGCAAUGGGGGCAACCCUGACCGAGCAACGCCGCGUGAGUGAAGAAGGUUUUCGGAUCGUAAAGCUCUGUUGUAAGUCAAGAACGGGUGUGAGAGUGGAAAGUUCACACUGUGACGGUAGCUUACCAGAAAGGGACGGCUAACUACGUG